RNAcentral lists this ribosomal RNA (253 nucleotides) under uncultured bacterium. Its description in RNAcentral is "partial 16S ribosomal RNA". It matches the Rfam family "Bacterial small subunit ribosomal RNA", at positions 524 to 776 of the family's 1533-position model. The record is from RNAcentral.
UACGUAGGGGACGAGCGUUGUCCGGAAUUACUGGGCGUAAAGGGUGCGCAGGCGGGCGUCCGCGUUUGCGGUGAAAGCUCCUCGCUUACCGGGGAGAGGGCCGUGAAGACGGGGCGCCUUGAGGCUCGGAGAGGGACGUGGAAUUCCGGGUGGAGCGGUGAAAUGCGUAGAGAUCCGGAAGAACACCAACGGCGCAGGCAGCGUCCUGGCCGACGCCUGACGCUCAGGCACGAAAGCGUGGGGAGCAAACAGG